RNAcentral lists this transfer RNA (71 nucleotides) under Camelus bactrianus (Bactrian camel). It matches the Rfam family "tRNA". From Rfam's summary of the family: Transfer RNA (tRNA) molecules are approximately 80 nucleotides in length. Their secondary structure includes four short double-helical elements and three loops (D, anti-codon, and T loops). RNAcentral also lists the same sequence under 2 other names. The record is from Rfam by way of RNAcentral. Lineage: Eukaryota; Metazoa; Chordata; Mammalia; Artiodactyla; Camelidae.
GAGCGUAUAGCUCAGUGGUAGGGCAUAUUCUUGGCAUGCAUGAGGUCCUGGGUUCAAUCCCCAGUGCCUCG